RNAcentral lists this ribosomal RNA (267 nucleotides) under uncultured bacterium. RNAcentral's name for it is "partial 16S ribosomal RNA". It matches the Rfam family "Bacterial small subunit ribosomal RNA", at positions 332 to 614 of the family's 1533-position model. The record is from RNAcentral.
CGCAGCCUACGGGGGGCAGCAGUGGGGAAUAUUGGGCAAUGGGCGCAAGCCUGACCCAGCAACGCCGCGUGAAGGAAGAAGGCUUUCGGGGUGUAAACUUCUUUUCUGAGGGACGAAGAAAGUGACGGUACCUCAGGAAUAAGCCACGGCUAACUACGUGCCAGCAGCCGCGGUAAUACGUAGGUGGCAAGCGUUAUCCGGAUUUAUUGGGUGUAAAGGGCGUGUAGGCGGGAUAGCAAGUCAGCUGUGAAAACUCAGGGCUCAGCC